RNAcentral lists this ribosomal RNA (253 nucleotides) under uncultured bacterium. Its description in RNAcentral is "partial 16S ribosomal RNA". It matches the Rfam family "Bacterial small subunit ribosomal RNA", at positions 524 to 776 of the family's 1533-position model. The record is from RNAcentral.
UACGGGGGGUGCGAGCGUUGUCCGGAAUCACUGGGCGUAAAGGGCGCGUAGGUGGUUUGAUAAGGGUGUGGUGAAAGCCCGGAGCUCAACUCCGGGUCUGCCGUGCCGACUGUCAAACUCGAGGACUGUAGAGGCAGACGGAAUUCCGGGUGUAGCGGUGGAAUGCGUAGAGAUCCGGAGGAAGACCGGUGGCGAAGGCGGUCUGCUGGGCAGUUUCUGACACUGAGGCGCGACAGCGUGGGGAGCAAACAGG